UCUCCUCUGGGCAGGGACCUCAGCCCUGACUUUGAGAGGCACUGGUGGAGGCUCUCAGGAUCCUGAGUGUCAGUCCAGCCCUCUCAGAAUCUCAAAUGAAAACACGUGCCCACCUAUUUCUGCUGAUGGACAAACAGUAUUUACCCCAGGAUCCAGCACCAGGUCAUUUCCACUCAGAACUCUUGGGAAGUUGAUACCAACAGACAACUGCCUUUGCUGAGUUAUAACCAAAAAGGAGCAAGUCCCCUUCAAGCACUGAAAGGCUGCUCUAAGUCUCCCUGGGACCUUUUCCAGGCUGAACAAGCCCAACUCUCUCAGCCUUUCUUCUCAGAAGAAGUGUUCUAUCCCUUGGAGCAUUUUUGUGCUCGUUCAUCCCCCAGCCUAUGUUCACACCAGGGGUUGCCCUGAACCAGCUGCAGGACCCUGGACUUGGCCUUGUUGAAACCCCACGGGCCACUUCUGGAGCUUGUCCAUGUCCCUCUGGAUGCCACCCCAUCCUUCAGGAGUGUCAACUGCACCACUCAGCUUGGUGUCACCCGUGAAUUUGCUGAACUGCACUUGGUCCCACUAGGGACCCCCAAGGGACACCACCUGUCACCCAUGUCCCAUCUGAACACUGAGUCUCCCACCACUCUGUUUGUCACCAUCAUUCCUCCUUCACUGAGCACUCCAGCCAUCAAAUCCAUCUCUCCAAUUUAGAGAGAAAGAUCUUGACCCUCAGAAUGUUUUUCUAUUGGAUUACCAGUCUUCGGUUCCAUUCCCAGAGCCCAGUGCAAACUAGCAAGAUAUGCAGAAUAAUCCAGACUCAUGAAAGGUCCAGCUCCACUCUCAUUGAUGUCAGUAGCAAAAAUUCCAACAGCAAAUGUCCUAAAACAUCUAAACACAGGCUUAAUCUAAAACACAUGAAAGCACAUAUGUAUAAGAGUUUGCUGGAUCGACACCUCAGGGAGAGAAGGAGCAGGCCCUACCAGAAAUGCUCAGAGCUGCAGUGAAAGCAGCAACACUCAAACAAAUAUGGGCUGAUUUACAGACCCUUCUUCUGUGCUCAGCUGCAUUCUCUUGGUAAGCAUGUCCAAUGCCUUCAGCAGUAAGGUUCUCCAUCACCACAUAUGCUUGGACAUUCAGAGCUUUUCUUAUUUAUGCUAUUAUUUUCUAAUUCACAUUAUUUGUAUUACCCAGCUCUGUUAAAGUGGGUAGCAGACAGUGGGAUGGUCCCAAUGCAGUGAUAAACUCAGGAUAAACAUGGCAGGUGGAAAAAUACACCAGCAAAGAGAAUGAUGUGACUGCAGUACUCAGAUUUUCAAGGCUGUUGGUGAAACAGGAAUUCCAUUCAGGAGGAAAGCAGAGGAGACAAGAACCUUGCCACAAGUGAUGAGAAGAGAGGAAGCUGAAGAUGAAAGGUCUCAAAGGAAGGGAGGAAUGGAGCUGGUGCAAAGUGCUGAGCAGGGUGGGGCUGAGAAUCUACUCCGAGCUGCAGGAAGAGCUGCACUUUGAAGGACACCUUUACCAGCUCCCUGAUUCCUGGAUCUGCUGACUGUAUCUCUCCCAGUUUGUCCCUGCUGAAAUCCACAUAUGGAAACAGCUUCCCUGAAGCGGUGCAACAACUACAACUGGGCUGCUGUUGUUAAGACAACUUUGUAAGGUAGUUCUUGGGUUUAACUGCUACUCACCAACCCUUUUCACCCUUCCACCUACUCUUACUACUUGGAGUGUGUUUCCAUUUACAUUUAUACUAGAUAAAACUACUCUAGGAAAAAUGGGGUACUCAUUCUCCUUCUUCAAUACCCUCCAGGAAGAUCCAGCCAUCCACAAGUGUCUCAGCUUCGACUACAAAGAACAAAUGUUCAGUUUUGAAAGGGCUUCAGGAUGGCAAGAGCUAUUUUAUCAACUGAGAAGGCCACUUAUGGGAUCUCCCAGACAUCUGGCCCCAAUCUGUCACUGCUUAAUCCUACAAUCCUAAACAUUUUGUGGACGUUUGAUGCCUGGGAUAAGUGUAACAAAUGCUGCAUGAUCCUCAAAGUCUGUAAAUGUCAACAGAGCUCUUAAACAAGUUUGAUCAAUAAAAAUAAUAAUUAUAUUGCAA
Molecule: long non-coding RNA, 2083 nt
Organism: Haemorhous mexicanus (house finch)
Lineage: Eukaryota; Metazoa; Chordata; Aves; Passeriformes; Fringillidae
Exons: 3
Source: RefSeq, a predicted model, not a curated record